GGACCAAUGGGCGGGAGCCUGAUCCAGCCAUGCCGCGUGCAGGAAGACGGUCCUAUGGAUUGUAAACUGCUUUUGUACGGGAAGAACAAGGGGCACGUGUGCCCCUCUGACGGUACCGUAAGAAUAAGGAUCGGCUAACUCCGUGCCAGCAGCCGCGGUAAUACGGAGGAUCCGAGCGUUAUCCGGAAUCAUUGGGUUUAAAGGGUCCGUAGGCGGGCCAUUAAGUCAGGGGUGAAAGUCUGCGGCUCAACCGUAGAAUUGCCCUUGAUACUGGUGGUCUUGAGUUAUGGUGAAGUAACUAGAAUAUGUAGUGUAGCGGUGAAAUGCAUAGAUAUUACAUAGAAUACCGAUUGCGAAGGCAGGUUACUAACCAUAUACUGACGCUGAUGGACGAAAGCGUGG
This 402-nucleotide ribosomal RNA is filed under the name uncultured Arenibacter sp. RNAcentral describes it as "bacterial SSU rRNA". It matches the Rfam family "Bacterial small subunit ribosomal RNA", at positions 366 to 764 of the family's 1533-position model. Lineage: Bacteria; Pseudomonadati; Bacteroidota; Flavobacteriia; Flavobacteriales; Flavobacteriaceae. The record is from RNAcentral.